GUUUAUGUGCCAACUCUUGCUUAUGAAGUAGUGAAAGGAAUUGAUACUGGUGUAAAACCUAUCCUUAAUUUCAAGGGAUAUUUGGUGGGAAAUGGAGUUACAGAUGAGAAGUUCGAUGGCAAUGCUCUUGUUCCAUUUGCUCAUGGCAUGGGCCUUAUUUCAGAUGACCUAUUUGAGGAGGUAAGCAAUGCAUGCAAGGGAAAUUUCUACCAACCACUUGGUGAAAAUUGUGAGAGCAAGCUUGCCAAGGUUGAUGCGGACAUUUCAGGUUUAAAUAUUUAUGACAUUCUAGAACCAUGCUAUUAUGACACAGACACAAGGGAGGUUACAGAUAUUAAAAUAAGGUUACCUUCUAGCUUUCUCCAAUUAGGUGAGACAGAUAGGCCUCUUCCUGUGAGAAAAAGGAUGCUUGGUCGUGCCUGGCCUUUUAGAGCUCCUGUAAGAGAAGG
This 449-nucleotide unclassified non-coding RNA is filed under the name Hevea brasiliensis (rubber tree). The record is from RNAcentral. Lineage: Eukaryota; Viridiplantae; Streptophyta; Magnoliopsida; Malpighiales; Euphorbiaceae.